GGGGAGGUGCCAGAGUGGACGAUUGGGGCCGCCUGCUAAGCGGUUGUCCGGGUGACCGGACCGCAGGUUCGAAUCCUGUCCUCCCCG
This 87-nucleotide transfer RNA is filed under the name Chloroflexota bacterium. Its description in RNAcentral is "Chloroflexi bacterium tRNA-Ser". It matches the Rfam family "tRNA". From Rfam's summary of the family: Transfer RNA (tRNA) molecules are approximately 80 nucleotides in length. The record is from RNAcentral. Lineage: Bacteria; Bacillati; Chloroflexota.